AUUGAACGCUGGCGGCAGGCCUAACACAUGCAAGUCGAACGAGUGGCGGACGGGUGAGUGAUGUCUGGGAAACUGUCUGAUGGAGGGGGAUAACUGCUGGAAACGGUAGCUAAUACCGCAUACCACAAGAUGAGCCCAGAUGGGAUUAGCUAUUAGGUGGGGGAAAGGCUCACCUAGGCGACGCUCCCUAGCUGGUCUGAGAGGAUGACCAGCAACACUGGAACUGAGAUACGGUCCGACCUCCUACGGGAGGCAGCGGUGGGGAAUAGUGGACAAUGGGCGAAAGCCUGCUGCAGCCAUGCGGCGUGUAUGAAGAAGGCUUGCGGGUUGUAAGGUACUUUCAUCGGGGAGGCGUUACCCGCAGAAGAAGCACCGGCUAACUCCGUGCCAGCAGACGCGGUAAUAC
This 406-nucleotide ribosomal RNA is filed under the name uncultured bacterium. Its description in RNAcentral is "partial 16S ribosomal RNA". It matches the Rfam family "Bacterial small subunit ribosomal RNA", at positions 30 to 526 of the family's 1533-position model. The record is from RNAcentral.